CCCAGCGGUUGUCAGCUAUCCAGGCUAGUAUGUUGCCUUGGAUGGUGUUACACUGUUGGAAGAGCAAACACUGCCUUUUUUGAGGUCUGGCUCCGAGCACUGUUUUGGUGUUGUGGCUAAGUACUCUUGGGCAGCGUUUUGCACCUCUGAGAGUGGAAGAACUCCUCCGGUGGAGUUGGUCCUAGUCUGGGUGCAAACAGU
Molecule: small nucleolar RNA, 201 nt
Filed under: Vulpes vulpes (red fox)
Lineage: Eukaryota; Metazoa; Chordata; Mammalia; Carnivora; Canidae
Description: Small nucleolar RNA SNORA74 (ENSVVUG00000020285.1)
Rfam family: Small nucleolar RNA SNORA74
About the family: U19 belongs to the H/ACA class of snoRNAs. snoRNAs bind a number of proteins (including dyskerin, Gar1p and Nop10p in the case of the H/ACA class) to form snoRNP complexes. This class are thought to guide the sites of modification of uridines to pseudouridines by forming direct base pairing interactions with substrate RNAs.
Source: Rfam by way of RNAcentral